Molecule: ribosomal RNA, 301 nt
Filed under: uncultured bacterium
Lineage: Bacteria
Description: partial 16S ribosomal RNA
Rfam family: Bacterial small subunit ribosomal RNA
Source: RNAcentral
CAGUCGCCGCGGGAAUACGUAGGUGGCAAGCGUUGUCCGGAAUUAUUGGGCGUAAAGGGCUCGCAGGCGGUUUCUUAAGUCUGAUGUGAAAGCCCCCGGCUCAACCGGGGAGGGUCAUUGGAAACUGGGAAACUUGAGUGCAGAAGAGGAGAGUGGAAUUCCACGUGUAGCGGUGAAAUGCGUAGAGAUGUGGAGGAACACCAGUGGCGAAGGCGACUCUCUGGUCUGUAACUGACGCUGAGGAGCGAAAGCGUGGGGAGCGAACAGGUUUAGAUACCCCUGUAGUCCCUGUCUCUUAUAC